This 468-nucleotide ribosomal RNA is filed under the name Weissella paramesenteroides. RNAcentral describes it as "bacterial SSU rRNA". It matches the Rfam family "Bacterial small subunit ribosomal RNA", at positions 50 to 506 of the family's 1533-position model. Lineage: Bacteria; Bacillati; Bacillota; Bacilli; Lactobacillales; Lactobacillaceae. The record is from RNAcentral.
UGUAUCUGANGAGCUUGCUCUGAUUUGAUUUUAUCUGAUCAAGAGUGGCGAACGGGUGAGUAACACGUGGGUAACCUACCUCUUAGCAGGGGAUAACAUUUGGAAACAAGUGCUAAUACCGUAUAAUACCAACAACCGCAUGGUUGUUGGUUGAAAGAUGGUUCUGCUAUCACUAAGAGAUGGACCCGCGGUGCAUUAGCUAGUUGGUAAGGUAACGGCUUACCAAGGCAAUGAUGCAUAGCCGAGUUGAGAGACUGAUCGGCCACAAUGGGACUGAGACACGGCCCAUACUCCUACGGGAGGCAGCAGUAGGGAAUCUUCCACAAUGGGCGCAAGCCUGAUGGAGCAACGCCGCGUGUGUGAUGAAGGGUUUCGGCUCGUAAAACACUGUUAUAAGAGAAGAACGGCACUGAGAGUAACUGUUCAGUGUGUGACGGUAUCUUACCAGAAAGGAACGGCUAACUACUG